UGCCAGACUCCUACGGGAGGCAGCAGUGGGGAAUAUUGCACAAUGGGGGGAACCCUGAUGCAGCGAUGCCGCGUGGAGGAAGAAGGUUUUCGGAUUGUAAACUCCUUUUAUCAGGGACGAUAAUGACGGUACCUGAAGAAAAAGCUCCGGCUAACUACGUGCCAGCAGCCGCGGUAAUACGUAGGGAGCGAGCGUUGUCCGGAAUUACUGGGUGUAAAGGGAGCGUAGACGGCAGUGCAAGUCUGAAGUGAAAGCCCCGGGCUUAACCCGGGAACUGCUUUGGAAACUGUACGGCUGGAGUGCUGGAGAGGUAAGCGGAAUUCCUAGUGUAGCGGUGAAAUGCGUAGAUAUUAGGAGGAACACCAGUGGCGAAGGCGGCUUACUGGACAGUAACUGACGUUGAGGCUCGAAAGCGUGGGGAGCAAACAGGAUUAGAUACCCUCGUAAC
Molecule: ribosomal RNA, 448 nt
Filed under: uncultured bacterium
Lineage: Bacteria
Description: bacterial SSU rRNA
Rfam family: Bacterial small subunit ribosomal RNA
Source: RNAcentral